Molecule: ribosomal RNA, 465 nt
Filed under: Vreelandella stevensii
Lineage: Bacteria; Pseudomonadati; Pseudomonadota; Gammaproteobacteria; Oceanospirillales; Halomonadaceae
Description: partial 16S ribosomal RNA
Rfam family: Bacterial small subunit ribosomal RNA
Source: RNAcentral
CCUACGGGCGGCUGCAGUGGGGAAUAUUGGACAAUGGGCGAAAGCCUGAUCCAGCCAUGCCGCGUGUGUGAAGAAGGCCUUCGGGUUGUAAAGCACUUUCAGUGGGGAAGAAAGCCUUGGGGCUAAUACCCUCGAGGAAGGACAUCACCCACAGAAGAAGCACCGGCUAACUCCGUGCCAGCAGCCGCGGUAAUACGGAGGGUGCGAGCGUUAAUCGGAAUUACUGGGCGUAAAGCGCGCGUAGGCGGUCUGAUAAGCCGGUUGUGAAAGCCCCGGGCUCAACCUGGGAACGGCAUCCGGAACUGUCAGGCUAGAGUGCAGGAGAGGAAGGUAGAAUUCCCGGUGUAGCGGUGAAAUGCGUAGAGAUCGGGAGGAAUACCAGUGGCGAAGGCGGCCUUCUGGACUGACACUGACGCUGAGGUGCGAAAGCGUGGGUAGCAAACAGGAUUAGAGACCCCAGUAGUC